AGAGUUUGAUCCUGGCUCAGGAUGAACGCUAGCUACAGGCUUAACACAUGCAAGUCGAGGGGCAGCAUGGUCUUAGCUUGCUAAGGCCGAUGGCGACCGGCGCACGGGUGAGUAACACGUAUCCAACCUGCCGUCUACUCUUGGACAGCCUUCUGAAAGGAAGAUUAAUACAAGAUGGCAUCAUGAGUCCGCAUGUUCACAUGAUUAAAGGUAUUCCGAUAGACGAUGGGGAUGCGUUCCAUUAGAUAGUAGGCGGGGUAACGGCCCACCUAGUCUUCGAUGGAUAGGGGUUCUGAGAGGAAGGUCCCCCACAUUGGAACUGAGACACGGUCCAAACUCCUACGGGAGGCAGCAGUGAGGAAUAUUGGUCAAUGGGCGAGAGCCUGAACCAGCCAAGUAGCGUGAAGGAUGACUGCCCUAUGGGUUGUAAACUUCUUUUAUAAAGGAAUAAAGUCGGGUAUGCAUACCCGUUUGCAUGUACUUUAUGAAUAAGGAUCGGCUAACUCCGUGCCAGCAGCCGCGGUAAUACGGAGGAUCCGAGCGUUAUCCGGAUUUAUUGGGUUUAAAGGGAGCGUAGAUGGAUGUUUAAGUCAGUUGUGAAAGUUUGCGGCUCAACCGUAAAAUUGCAGUUGAUACUGGAUAUCUUGAGUGCAGUUGAGGCAGGCGGAAUUCGUGGUGUAGCGGUGAAAUGCUUAGAUAUCACGAAGAACUCCGAUUGCGAAGGCAGCCUGCUAAGCUGCAACUGACAUUGAGGCUCGAAAGUGUGGGUAUCAAACAGGAUUAGAUACCCUGGUAGUCCACACGGUAAACGAUGAAUACUCGCUGUUUGCGAUAUACAGCAAGCGGCCAAGCGAAAGCGUUAAGUAUUCCACCUGGGGAGUACGCCGGCAACGGUGGAACUCAAAGGAAUUGACGGGGGCCCGCACAAGCGGAGGAACAUGUGGUUUAAUUCGAUGAUACGCGAGGAACCUUACCCGGGCUUAAAUUGCAGAUGAAUUACGGUGAAAGCCGUAAGCCGCAAGGCAUCUGUGAAGGUGCUGCAUGGUUGUCGUCAGCUCGUGCCGUGAGGUGUCGGCUUAAGUGCCAUAACGAGCGCAACCCUUGUUGUCAGUUACUAACAGGUACUGCUGAGGACUCUGACAAGACUGCCAUCGUAAGAUGUGAGGAAGGUGGGGAUGACGUCAAAUCAGCACGGCCCUUACGUCCGGGGCUACACACGUGUUACAAUGGGGGGUACAGAGGGCCGCUACCACGCGAGUGGAUGCCAAUCCCCAAAACCUCUCUCAGUUCGGACUGGAGUCUGCAACCCGACUCCACGAAGCUGGAUUCGCUAGUAAUCGCGCAUCAGCCACGGCGCGGUGAAUACGUUCCCGGGCCUUGUACACACCGCCCGUCAAGCCAUGGGAGCCGGGGGUACCUGAAGUGCGUAACCGCGAGGAGCGCCCUAGGGUAAAACUGGUGACUGGGGCUAAGUCGUAACAAGGUA
RNAcentral lists this ribosomal RNA (1486 nucleotides) under metagenome. Its description in RNAcentral is "bacterial SSU rRNA". It matches the Rfam family "Bacterial small subunit ribosomal RNA". The record is from RNAcentral.